Molecule: long non-coding RNA, 692 nt
Filed under: Homo sapiens (human)
Lineage: Eukaryota; Metazoa; Chordata; Mammalia; Primates; Hominidae
Description: HSALNT0325289
Source: RNAcentral
ACUCGCCGCGGAGCCUCGGCCGGCCCGGGGGCGGCGGCGCUGAGGGCGCGGCGGGGACGGUCUGGGGGCUUGGGGACGCCGGUGGGGGGUGAGGGCGGUGGGCCGCCUGGAGACCCCGGGGUGCCCUGGCUCGCCGGCCGGGCCCUGUAGCCCUCGUCCCGUGGGGCCGGGGGCCGGGGUUCCCGCGCUGUGCCGGGAGGGCCCGGCCGUCUGGAAGACUUGGCAGCCGGGGCAAGCGACGUGGGCUCGGACGCGCGAGGAGGGCUGGGGAGCGGGGCGCGGGGCUGGGAAGGGCGCCGUCCGGCGGUGGCCGGGCUGGCGGCGGGCGGGGACUGCGGAGGAGGCAGCUUGCGCCGGGGCUGGGGCCUGCUUCGGGGGACUAGCGGCCCGGGAGGUAUGGAGGUGCCGCUCCGGGGGGGGCGAAAGAAACGUGGAAAGGUCGCCCAGGAGGGAGCCUGUCCCCCAGGGUUUCCAGGGGCAACGGUGGCCCGUGUCCCUGGAGGACAUGCGCCAGGGCAGCAGGGAGUGGUCCCCGCAGGCUCCCAGGCUGGGGCCGGCCGCCUUCUGGGGCGCUCAGACCUGUCUGCUGCAGUUUGCAAACAGUACGCCCGAAUUCUUUUCAUUGUAAAAAAUUUCUAUUAAAAAUAACUCGUAAAGCCUAUCAUCUCUUUUAAAUAAAGGGGAAGAAAGAG